Salvator merianae (Argentine black and white tegu) is the source of this 387-nucleotide long non-coding RNA. Lineage: Eukaryota; Metazoa; Chordata; Lepidosauria; Squamata; Teiidae. The record is from Ensembl.
GCUCCGAGAGGCCCGGCGCCAGUCGGUGGCAGCUGAAUUUGUGGGAGCCCUACUCAGCUGCCAGACUGAGGAGAACCACCAGAAAAAACUGCAGCCCAAAAGCCCCCCAAGAAGAACAGAAAAACCGUCUCCUGGGAAGAAGAGGAGUUCUACUCAGCGGACCAACAGUCUUUUACCAACAUCCAGUCAACAUGGCGAAGAUCCUUGGCAGGCAACUGAGUGCGGCCAUGUUGACCGACCUAGUGGUCCAAUUAUCCCAGGGUCUCCGUGAGAGAGAGGAGGCUCUUGCCGAGGCCGCAGCGGCUCUCCUCCGGGCCNUCAUGCAGGCCUGCGCUGCGGAUGUGGAAGACGUAAGUAGACAGAACGGAGGAGAGAAGGGAGGAGGAA